RNAcentral lists this ribosomal RNA (338 nucleotides) under uncultured eukaryote. RNAcentral describes it as "partial 18S ribosomal RNA". It matches the Rfam family "Eukaryotic small subunit ribosomal RNA", at positions 622 to 955 of the family's 1831-position model. The record is from RNAcentral.
GAAAUUCAAUGAGGAAAAGCUCGUAGUUGGAUUUCUGGGAGGUGCCAAUGUCCGCUCGAUUGCGUGUGCAGCGGCGUCCUUCCAUCCUUCUGUUAACGUUUCUUGGUAUUCAGUUACUGGUUUCGGGCUCAGAUAUUUUACCUUGAGAAAAUUAGAGUGUUCCAGGCAGGCUUGCGCCUGUAUACAUUAGCGUGAAAUAAUAGAAUAGGACUUUAGUCUCCUUUGUUGGUUUGAGGGACAGAAGGAAUGAUUCAUAGGGAUAGUUGGGGGCAUUAUUAUUUUAUUGUCAGAGGAAAAAUUCGGGGGUUUUUUUUAAAAAAAAAUUUAAAAAAAUUUUU